RNAcentral lists this ribosomal RNA (375 nucleotides) under uncultured bacterium. Its description in RNAcentral is "bacterial SSU rRNA". It matches the Rfam family "Bacterial small subunit ribosomal RNA", at positions 521 to 898 of the family's 1533-position model. The record is from RNAcentral.
UAAUACGUAGGGAGCAAGCGUUGUCCGGAUUCACUGGGUGUAAAGGGUGCGUAGGCGGGACAAUAAGUCAGUGGUGAAAUCUUACGGCUCAACCGUGAAACUGCCAUUGAUACUGUUGUUCUUGAGUUCGGGAGAGGUUGAUGGAAUUCCAGGUGUAGCGGUGAAAUGCGUAGAUAUCUGGAAGAACACCAGUGGCGAAGGCGGUCAACUGGCCCGAAACUGACGCUGAGGCACGAAAGCGUGGGGAGCGAACAGGAUUAGAUACCCUGGUAGUCCACGCCCUAAACGAUGAAUGCUUGGUGUUGGCCGGAAACGGUCAGUGCCGGAGGUAACCUGGUAAGCAUUCCACCUGGGGAGUACGCUCGCAAGGGUGAA